GCGCGCAUCGACGCAUCGCCACGCGCGGCGCAUUCAUAAUGCGAAGGUCGGGGGUUCGAUUCCUCUUUCCGGCACCA
Molecule: transfer RNA, 77 nt
Filed under: Paraburkholderia tropica
Lineage: Bacteria; Pseudomonadati; Pseudomonadota; Betaproteobacteria; Burkholderiales; Burkholderiaceae
Description: Pseudo tRNA
Source: RNAcentral